CGUGUAGGCGGUCUUUUAAGUCUGAUGUGAAAGCCCCGGGCUCAACCUGGGAAGUGCAUUGGAAACUGGGAGACUUGAGUACGGGAGGGGAGGGUGGAAUUCCUAGUGUAGGAGUGAAAUCCGUAGAUAUUAGGAGGAACACCGGUGGCGAAGGCGGCUCUCUGGACCGAUACUGACGCUGAGACGCGAAAGCGUGGGUAGCAAACA
RNAcentral lists this ribosomal RNA (207 nucleotides) under uncultured bacterium. Its description in RNAcentral is "partial 16S ribosomal RNA". It matches the Rfam family "Bacterial small subunit ribosomal RNA", at positions 568 to 774 of the family's 1533-position model. The record is from RNAcentral.